Molecule: ribosomal RNA, 734 nt
Filed under: Anthracoidea caricis-meadii
Lineage: Eukaryota; Fungi; Basidiomycota; Ustilaginomycetes; Ustilaginales; Anthracoideaceae
Description: LSU rRNA
Rfam family: Eukaryotic large subunit ribosomal RNA
Source: RNAcentral
AAGCAUAUCAAUAAGCGGAGGAAAAGAAACUAACAAGGAUUCCCCUAGUAACGGCGAGUGAAGAGGGAUGAGCCCAAGAUUGAAAGCUGGCGCCAUGCACUGGCGUUCCGCAUUGUAAUCUCAAGAAGCGUUUAUCCGCUACGGACCAGGUCCAAGUCUCUUGGAAAGGAGCGUCAUGGAGGGUGAAAAUCCCGUGGAUGACCUGGAGCCGCCGUAGUACUGCGAUGCGUUUUUUUCUCAGAGUCGAGUUGUUUGGGAAUGCAGCUCAAAAUGGGUGGUAAAUGCCAUCUAAGGCUAAAUACAGGGGAGAGACCGAUAGCGAACAAGUACCGUGAGGGAAAGAUGCAAAGAACUUUGGAAAGAGAGUUAAACAGUACGUGAAAUUGCCAGAAGGGAAGGGUAGGAAGUCAGAGAUGCAGAGACGGGGCUCAGCCGGAUGUUUGUAGUGGGCAGCCGGUGCACGCCGCGGAUCAGCAGGUCAACGUCGGUUCUGUGGGCGCGGGAAAGCGGGGCCGGGCAACGUGGCAUUUCUUCGGAAGUGUGAUUAUAGACCGGCCUUUUGAGUCUGGACCAGCGACGGGAGCCGUGGUUUAGCAGCAUGAUGCUUCUGCCGGAGCGGCUGGGCGAGGGGCGUCAAAACCUUUUUUCCGGGAGCGAGGGCGGAGGUGUUAGGUCUUCGGGCACUAUUCAUGUUGAUGGCGUUGGCUUAAUGGCCGUCUACCACCCGUCUUGAA